AGUGAACGCUGGCGGCAGGCCUAACACAUGCAAGUCGAACGGCAGCACAGUAAGAGCUUGCUCUUACGGGUGGCGAGUGGCGGACGGGUGAGGAAUACAUCGGAAUCUACUUUUUCGUGGGGGAUAACGUAGGGAAACUUACGCUAAUACCGCAUACGACCUACGGGUGAAAGCAGGGGAUCUUCGGACCUUGCGCGAUUGAAUGAGCCGAUGUCGGAUUAGCUAGUUGGCGGGGUAAAGGCCCACCAAGGCGACGAUCCGUAGCUGGUCUGAGAGGAUGAUCAGCCACACUGGAACUGAGACACGGUCCGGACUCCUGCGGGAGGCAGCAGUGGGGAAUAUUGGGCAAUGGGCGCAAGCCUGAUCCAGCCAUACCGCGUGGGUGAAGAAGGCCUUCGGGUUGUAAAGCCCUUUUGUUGGGAAAGAAAAGCAGCAAGUUAAUACCCCGCGGUUCUGACGGUACCCAAAGAAUAAGCACCGGCUAACUUCGUG
This 492-nucleotide ribosomal RNA is filed under the name uncultured bacterium. RNAcentral describes it as "partial 16S ribosomal RNA". It matches the Rfam family "Bacterial small subunit ribosomal RNA", at positions 29 to 507 of the family's 1533-position model. The record is from RNAcentral.